GGGCAAUUAGUUCAACUGAAUAGAACAGAAGAUUACGGCUCUUCAGAUGGGGGUUUGAGUCCUCCAUUGCCCUCUA
RNAcentral lists this transfer RNA (76 nucleotides) under Candidatus Pelagibacteraceae bacterium. Its description in RNAcentral is "tRNA-Arg". It matches the Rfam family "tRNA". From Rfam's summary of the family: Transfer RNA (tRNA) molecules are approximately 80 nucleotides in length. Their secondary structure includes four short double-helical elements and three loops (D, anti-codon, and T loops). Further hydrogen bonds mediate the characteristic L-shaped molecular structure. tRNAs have two regions of fundamental functional importance: the anti-codon, which is responsible for specific mRNA codon recognition, and the 3' end, to which the tRNAs corresponding amino acid is attached (by aminoacyl-tRNA synthetases). tRNAs cope with the degeneracy of the genetic code in two manners: having more than one tRNA (with a specific anti-codon) for a particular amino acid; and 'wobble' base-pairing, i.e. permitting non-standard base-pairing at the 3rd anti-codon position. Lineage: Bacteria; Pseudomonadati; Pseudomonadota; Alphaproteobacteria; Candidatus Pelagibacterales; Candidatus Pelagibacteraceae. The record is from RNAcentral.